Macrobrachium nipponense is the source of this 429-nucleotide long non-coding RNA. RefSeq lists it as uncharacterized. Lineage: Eukaryota; Metazoa; Arthropoda; Malacostraca; Decapoda; Palaemonidae. The record is from RefSeq and is a predicted model, not a curated record. The transcript is spliced from 3 exons.
AUUUGUGGAACAAGAAUGUAAAGUAAGUUUCAUAAUAACUAAGAUUUGUAAAGACUGAAAUGCCAAGGAGUGCAAUAACACAGACGUCGUUUUUCAAGAAAUUGAUGCACGGAAACUGGUGAGAGGACCUGCAAGAAAAAGCAGAUGAGGUCUAAAAGGAGGUACUGCCAUAAUCAAACAGGAAGGGGAGAAACCUCACUUCUGGGUUAUCUUGGAUUAACCCGGUAGUUAUCUUGGGCUAAGAACUCGGGAGAACGAGCCACAAUCAGGAACUGAAGGGUUGCGCGUAUUACAGUGGACUAAGCCAACAAGUUUGUCACCUGGAUCCACUGACUGUAAAGGUUAUCCACAGCUAGCCAUUUCUUGAAGGGGAAAUUUGAAGGAAAUUCUCCAAAAAUGUUCUGCAACACUUUUCAGAAAGGUAGGUGC